GAUUCCCCUAGUAACGGCGAGUGAAGCGGGACGAGCUCAAAUUUGUAAUCUGGCUGCUUUGCAGUCCGAGUUGUAAUCUCGAGAAGUGUUUUCCGCGCUGGCUGGCAUACAAGUCUGUUGGAAUACAGCGUCAUAGUGGUGAGAACCCCGUAGAUGAUGCCAUGUCCAGUGCUCUGUGAUACACUUUCGAAGAGUCGAGUUGUUUGGGAAUGCAGCUCAAAGUGGGUGGUAAAUUCCAUCUAAAGCUAAAUAUUGGCGAGAGACCGAUAGCGAACAAGUACCGUGAGGGAAAGAUGAAAAGCACUUUGGAAAGAGAGUUAACAGUACGUGAAAUUGUUGGAAGGGAAACGCUUGAAGUCAGACUUGAGGAGUGGUGUUCAUCCGCAAGGAGUAUUCAUCGCUUAUCAGGCCAGCAUCAGUUUUGGGGGAUUGAAAAGGGCGAGUUGAAGGUAGCAGCCUAGCUGUGUUAUAGCUUCUCGCUGGAUUAAUCUUCUGGGACUGAGGAAUGCGGUGUGCUUUUAGCAAUACUUUCGAGUAUUUCACACCUAGGAUGCUGGUGGAAUGCUUUAA
RNAcentral lists this ribosomal RNA (570 nucleotides) under Rhodotorula sp. CBS 10234. Its description in RNAcentral is "eukaryotic LSU rRNA". It matches the Rfam family "Eukaryotic large subunit ribosomal RNA", at positions 73 to 643 of the family's 3401-position model. The record is from RNAcentral. Lineage: Eukaryota; Fungi; Basidiomycota; Microbotryomycetes; Sporidiobolales; Sporidiobolaceae.